CACGUAGGCACCAAGCGUUGUCCGGAUUUAUUGGGCGUAAAGAGCUCGUAGGCGGUUCCGUAAGUCAGAUGUGAAAACUCAGGGCUCAACCCGGAGACGCCAUCUGAUACUGCGGUGACUGGAGUCUGGUAGGGGAACACGGAAUUCCUGGUGUAGCGGUGAAAUGCGCAGAUAUCAGGAGGAACACCGAUGGCGAAGGCAGUGUUCUGGGCCAGUACUGACGCUGAGGAGCGAAAGCGUGGGGAGCAAACAGG
This 254-nucleotide ribosomal RNA is filed under the name uncultured bacterium. Its description in RNAcentral is "partial 16S ribosomal RNA". It matches the Rfam family "Bacterial small subunit ribosomal RNA", at positions 524 to 776 of the family's 1533-position model. The record is from RNAcentral.